CAGCCGCCGCGGGAAUACGAGGGGGGCAAGCGUUGUUCGGAAUUAUUGGGCGUAAAGGGUGCGUAGGCGGUUUGGCAAGUUUGGUGUGAAAUCUUCGGGCUCAACUCGAAGUCUGCAUCGAAAACUGCCGGGCUUGAGUAUGGGAGAGGUGAGUGGAAUUUCCGGUGUAGCGGUGAAAUGCGUAGAUAUCGGAAGGAACACCUGUGGCGAAAGCGGCUCACUGGACCAUAACUGACGCUGAUGCACGAAAGCUAGGGGAGCAAACAUGAUUAGAUACCCCCGUAGUCCCUGUCUCUUAUAA
This 301-nucleotide ribosomal RNA is filed under the name uncultured bacterium. RNAcentral's name for it is "partial 16S ribosomal RNA". It matches the Rfam family "Bacterial small subunit ribosomal RNA", at positions 509 to 809 of the family's 1533-position model. The record is from RNAcentral.